RNAcentral lists this ribosomal RNA (474 nucleotides) under uncultured eukaryote. RNAcentral's name for it is "partial 18S ribosomal RNA". The record is from RNAcentral.
AACAGAGUUUCUAAUUCGGUACGUACACAUUCAUAUUCAUAACAUGCCGCUUUGACGCUUACCGAGUAAUUUUGUCAAUAACAAAUAAACUAUUAGCUUUCAAUGUACCUAUUGGCACUGUUUAAUGUCAAUUAUGUACGUUGUUCUGGUGCGUUCACCAACAUUAAUAAUCAUAAUUUGGUUAAGGAAGCCCUUACACUACUUAGUAUCAUUAGCUUGCUUAGCGUCUAAAGACGCUAUUUAGUAAGUUCAAAGACGGGAUAGUCGAAACCUACCAUCACAUAACCUGAUGGUACCGUUAGUGCCCAUUGCCUCUUAAUCCCAAGCUAAGGCCUCUCCCUCGGACUCUUUGCCGAUGGUGUAGAUGCCUUCCGUCGUCCGCGCUUUUAACGGGUUAGGACUAAGUCCCUCCGUCACUGUUCUUUAUUGUUGAGAGCUGAUACAACUCUUCACAUUACGUCCUAUUAAAUGUUU